AACGAACGCUGGCGGCAGGCUUAACACAUGCAAGUCGAACGCACCGCAAGGUGAGUGGCGCACGGGCGAGUAACGCGUGGGAAUGUACCGUUUAGUACGGAAUAGCUCCGGGAAACUGGAAUUAAUACCGUAUACGCCCUUCGGGGGAAAGAUUUAUCGCUAAACGAUCAGCCCGCGUGAGAUUAGGUAGUUGGUGGGGUAAUGGCCUACCAAGCCUACGAUCUCUAGUUGGUCUGAGAGGAUGAUCAGCCACACUGGAACUGAGACACGGUCCAGACUCCUACGGGAGGCAGCAGUGGGGAAUAUUGGACAAUGGGGGAAACCCUGAUCCAGCCAUGCCGCGUGAAUGAUGAAGGCCUUAGGGUUGUAAAGCUCUUUUACCGAUGAAGAUAAUGACGGUAGUCGGAGAAAAAGCCCCGGCUAACUUCGUGCCAGCCGCCGCAGUAA
RNAcentral lists this ribosomal RNA (447 nucleotides) under uncultured bacterium. Its description in RNAcentral is "partial 16S ribosomal RNA". It matches the Rfam family "Bacterial small subunit ribosomal RNA", at positions 29 to 523 of the family's 1533-position model. The record is from RNAcentral.